Molecule: ribosomal RNA, 861 nt
Filed under: Bacillus amyloliquefaciens
Lineage: Bacteria; Bacillati; Bacillota; Bacilli; Caryophanales; Bacillaceae
Description: bacterial SSU rRNA
Rfam family: Bacterial small subunit ribosomal RNA
Source: RNAcentral
UUGCUCCCUGAUGUUAGCGGCGGAAGGGUGAGUAACACGUGGGUAACCUGCCUGUAAGACUGGGAUAACUCCGGGAAACCGGGGCUAAUACCGGAUGGUUGUUUGAACCGCAUGGUUCAGACAUAAAAGGUGGCUUCGGCUACCACUUACAGAUGGACCCGCGGCGCAUUAGCUAGUUGGUGAGGUAACGGCUCACCAAGGCAACGAUGCGUAGCCGACCUGAGAGGGUGAUCGGCCACACUGGGACUGAGACACGGCCCAGACUCCUACGGGAGGCAGCAGUAGGGAAUCUUCCGCAAUGGACGAAAGUCUGACGGAGCAACGCCGCGUGAGUGAUGAAGGUUUUCGGAUCGUAAAGCUCUGUUGUUAGGGAAGAACAAGUGCCGUUCAAAUAGGGCGGCACCUUGACGGUACCUAACCAGAAAGCCACGGCUAACUACGUGCCAGCAGCCGCGGUAAUACGUAGGUGGCAAGCGUUGUCCGGAAUUAUUGGGCGUAAAGGGCUCGCAGGCGGUUUCUUAAGUCUGAUGUGAAAGCCCCCGGCUCAACCGGGGAGGGUCAUUGGAAACUGGGGAACUUGAGUGCAGAAGAGGAGAGUGGAAUUCCACGUGUAGCGUUGAAAUGCGUAGAGAUGUGGAGGAACACCAGUGGCGAAGGCGACUCUCUGGUCUGUAACUGACGCUGAGGAGCGAAAGCGUGGGGAGCGAACACGAUUAGAUACCCUGGUAGUCCACGCCGUAAACGAUGAGUGCUGAGUGUUAGGGGGUUUCCGCCCCUUAGUGCUGCAGCUAACGCAUUAAGCACUCCGCCUGGGGAGUACGGUCGCAAGACUGAAACUCAAAGGAAUUGACGGGGGCCCGC